Molecule: ribosomal RNA, 475 nt
Filed under: uncultured bacterium
Lineage: Bacteria
Description: bacterial SSU rRNA
Rfam family: Bacterial small subunit ribosomal RNA
Source: RNAcentral
ACUCCUACGGGAGGCAGCAGUAGGGAAUUUUCCGCAAUGGGACGAAAGUCUGACGGAGUAAUGCCGCGUGAGUGAUGAAAGGUUUUCGAAUUGUAAAGCUCUGUUGUAAGGGAAGAAUAGCAAGAAUAGGAAAUGAUUCUUUGUCUGACGGUACCUUACCAGAAAGCCACGGCUAACUACGUGCCAGCAGCCGCGGUAAUACGUAGGUGGCAAGCGUUAUCCGGAAUUAUUGGGCGUAAAGCGCAUGUAGGCGGCUUUUUAAGUCUGAUGUGAAAGCCAGUGGCUCAACCACUGAAUUGCAUUGGAUACUGGAAAGCUAGAAUCUUGGAGGAGGUAAGUGGAAUUUCAUGUGUAGCGGUGGAAUGCGUAGAUAUAUGAAGGAACACCAAUGGCGAAGGCAGCUUACUGGACAAGUAUUGACGCUGAGAUGCGAAAGUGUGGUAGCAAACAGGAUUAGAUACCCUGGUAGGCUCUG